RNAcentral lists this ribosomal RNA (253 nucleotides) under uncultured bacterium. Its description in RNAcentral is "partial 16S ribosomal RNA". It matches the Rfam family "Bacterial small subunit ribosomal RNA", at positions 524 to 776 of the family's 1533-position model. The record is from RNAcentral.
UACGGAGGGGGCUAGCGUUGUUCGGAAUUACUGGGCGUAAAGCGCACGUAGGCGGUUUUGUAAGUUAGAGGUGAAAGCCCGGAGCUCAACUUCGGAAUUGCCUUUAAGACUGCAUCACUUGAACGUUGGAGAGGUGAGUGGAAUUCCGAGUGUAGAGGUGAAAUUCGUAGAUAUUCGGAAGAACACCAGUGGCGAAGGCGGCUCACUGGACGACUGUUGACGCUGAGGUGCGAAAGCGUGGGGAGCAAACAGG